Molecule: transfer RNA, 65 nt
Filed under: Lutraria rhynchaena
Lineage: Eukaryota; Metazoa; Mollusca; Bivalvia; Venerida; Mactridae
Description: tRNA-Trp
Source: RNAcentral
GAAAGUGUUAAGUUAAGUAGACUAUGGUACUUCAAAUACUAAAGAGGGCAGGUAGCUCACAUUUU